This is a long non-coding RNA of Medicago truncatula (barrel medic), 599 nucleotides long. RefSeq lists it as uncharacterized. Lineage: Eukaryota; Viridiplantae; Streptophyta; Magnoliopsida; Fabales; Fabaceae. The record is from RefSeq and is a predicted model, not a curated record. The transcript has 2 exons.
UUAUCUAUUUACUCAACUUUAAACACUAUAAAAUGAUGAGGUCAUAUUUCAUCUGUUACAUGCAAAGAGAAGAAACAAAAUAUGGCUAAAACUCUCAAAAUUUUUUAUGCCAUGCUUUUAUUUCUUUUCAGGCUUCUUAUUGUUAAGGAGGUUAGCGGAAAUCUUCCUGAGUGUAGCACUGAUGAUCAUUGUAAACAAGUUUCGUCGAAGUUUUAUAGGCAUAUUUGCCAUAACAAUCGGUGCAAAAUUGUUAUGUUUAUGCCACCUAAUGUCUGAGUAUCAUAUCUAAGAGAGUACACAAAUAUCAUGCACAAAAGAAUGAGUUCUUACACUUACAUCUUAUGCAAGAAUAUUCCACGAAUUGCCAUUUAAUCUUUGUGAUGGCACCAUGUGAUUGUAUUUUAUUUUAUUUUAUUUUGUAAUUUCGCAGAUCUUAUUAUUACGAAUUUGUCGUCAAAGAUAUUAGCUUAUUGGUUCGAGUUUGAUUUUUAAACCUCAAGAGACUUGGCUCAAAUCUCAUAGGUGACCAUGACCAUUGGUGCCACCAUUGUGAAAAAAUUAUAAUUACGUAAAUUGUUUUCUUCUCUCUUUAUUUACGA